This 329-nucleotide ribosomal RNA is filed under the name uncultured eukaryote. RNAcentral's name for it is "partial 18S ribosomal RNA". It matches the Rfam family "Eukaryotic small subunit ribosomal RNA", at positions 1470 to 1796 of the family's 1831-position model. The record is from RNAcentral.
CCCUUAGAUGUUCUGGGCCGCACGCGCGCUACACUGAUGCAUUCAACGAGUCUAAAACCUGCUCUGAUAGGGGUUGGUAAUCUUUUGAAUGUGCAUCGUGAUUGGGAUAGAUGAUUGCAAUUUUUCAUCUUCAACGAGGAAUGCCUAGUAAACGCAAGUCAUCAGCUUGCAUUGAUUACGUCCCUGCCCUUUGUACACACCGCCCGUCGCUCCUACCGAUUGAAUGAUCCGAUGAAUAUCAUGGAUUGAGGAUGCAAGCAGGUUCGCCUGUCUUCAUCUUCGAGAAGUGAAGUAAAUCUUAUCAUUUAGAGGAAGGAGAAGUCGUAACA